RNAcentral lists this long non-coding RNA (2827 nucleotides) under Lactuca sativa (garden lettuce). Its description in RNAcentral is "long non-coding RNA (LSAT_LNC000710)". Lineage: Eukaryota; Viridiplantae; Streptophyta; Magnoliopsida; Asterales; Asteraceae. The record is from RNAcentral.
UAAUUUCCUAUUUGCCUGAAAUUGUGAAAUCAGAAUCAAAUGUAAAUAAUCAAGUUCUAAUGUUCUGAAAACUAUAAGAUGGAUUGAAGAGUAUAAGUAUUUAUCUUGAUUUGUUGUUCCUUUACAAAGUUAUUUGAUUUUUAAAUCAAUGGCUAAUACCUGAACUUCACUUUAAUAAGAACUCCAUGAUGUUCAUCUGUGGAAACACAAAAAUAAAAUCAAUGUAGUAGCUGAUGAAUGUAUCAUAAAAUUCCAGGAGUAUUUUGGACAAACCCAAUACAACCUCUCGCAACAACCAUUUUUUGGAAAUUGUUGAUGAAUGUCUCAUUAUGGGGGUAUUCAGCUUUUCUAACAUUUGAAAUUUGUUGAUGAAUGCCCUCUUUAAACCCAUCCAAAACAGAAAACAAAACCAUGCUCAUGAAGUUCAGGUCAGGUACUACUUUCAUGGGUCCAUACGUUUUUUCUGCAAUUUAUUAUGGUUUUUAUGAAAUUGCAUAUCAUUGCAGCUCAUUUUCGAUCAGUCUAGAAAAACAACCAUUUCCGACCUAGUUAGGAACAAUAUCAGGUCAGGGCAAAAAUUACUUACAAAUUACACUUAAUUUCUAAGCUUUGAGAGUUUGUGGAUCCUAAUUCCGAAUUGAUGAUUUUUCUAGAAUUUUUCUAAGACAACGGCAAAAUGGUCGAAUAUACAAUAUUUUCCAGCUUUGGUUAUUAUGAGUUAAAUGGCAUCUUAACCCAUUAAGUGACAAUGAAAAUGACUUAUAACCUGGAAUCACUUGAAAUCUAACUCAAAUUACAAUGUUUUUAUGUGUAAAGCAAAAGUACAAUAAUGUAAGAUAGUUAUAGACUUAGUGUCUUCUUCUGUUGUCCAUUCUUUGUUCGGUUACCCAAUGGAAUUACCCAUCAAGUAGAUUCCUACACAAUUACCCAUCAGGUUAUCAAAGACUAAUAAAUUGAUUGGCUUCAUCAAGUCUUUGAUAAGUUACACAGAAUAAAAACAAUAGUUUGCUUAUUUAAACAAUGUAAUUCCAGGUAAAACCCAUUGGAAUUUUUGUUUUAGGGUCAAAAGUUGUUUCAAGAACAACUUCUUUUGAAAAAUUACCUCCUUCAACUGAAUACAUGUGCAAUUUACCAUCUUAGACUCCCAAAAUAGCUUCAUUUCCAUCUAGGGCAGUUGCACAUGAAGUCACAGUAAACCUAAAGUAAAUAUUCAACAACAAAAGUUCCAAGAAUUUAUCGCCCGUGACUCCAUCAUUGUUCCUUGUUUUUGUAUACAUACCCCAAAUUCGAAUAAUGAAAACUGUAAAAAAAAAAAAAAAAAAAAAAAAAAAAAAAAAAAAAAAAAAAAGUAAGAAAAAUGCAUGUAUGGAUUUGCAUACACCCAUGAUAUAAGAUAAUACAUGGUAACGCAUACCAGCACCUUUAUCACAUUUAGUAAACCAACUUUAGUGCCAUUGCUUCCUCUACUGUUUAACAUCAAUGGCAUGCUUUGAUUGUCCCUUUAAAUAUAUAUUUUUUCAACUUUUCUAUAUAAAGUUAAGUAUAGAAAUCAUAGGGGAACCUUUAAUUUAGCCUUGUUAUAAAAGUAUUUCGUAAAACCAAAUUGAAUUUCUACAUUUUGUGGUCAAAACCAGUUCAUUUGACUUUCAAAAGUCAGCAGCAGAUGUAUCACAUAAUCUAAAAUAAUAAUAAUAAUCUAUAAUAAAAAAAGACGACAAUAUGUAUAUAGAAACACCUUCCAAGUAUUUGAGAGAGGAUCCCAUGGUGUGUAUCCUGAAGAAGCAUUGGCUCAGUGAGAGUAUUAUGUCCCAUAUAAACAAUACGAACCUGAAAUUAGAUUAAAAUAUUCAUGAUUUAAUUAGUCGAUAGUCAAGGAAUCAACAACAAAAAAUCAAACAUUUAAAAUAUAUACAUAAACAUAAAAAAAAAAAAAAAAAAAAAAAAAAAAAAAAAAAAAAAAAAAAACAUGUCUUGUUGCAUGAAAUGCCCAACACAAACCAUUUUUGCUGAAAGAAUACUAAAAUGAAGAGAAGAACAUUAACCCUUGAUGAGAAUCCCAUGAGAUAUGUCAAAGUAUGAAGCUUACAUACACAUAGAGAUACAUAUGUAAUUGAGCAAAAUGGUGAGGAUUUUUUGGUAAAUUUUAAUAAGAAUGUGAAAAAAGGAAAUGGGUUUGUUUUUGGUCUUUUGGACGAUAAUGCCCCUAGAUGAUUCUUAACAAUGACGUAUGCCUUGGUAAUGGCCUCCUUCUUAUGUUAACAACAUUUAACCCCAAUCUUUAAAUCCCAAUAGCUCUAAAAUCAAAAUUGAAGGUAAAAAUGAAAUAUGUCAAAUAGAUUCACCAGAGAUAGAUACCAAAUGAUAUUUACUUUUCAUUUUCAUAAAAGAAUUGAUAAAAAAGGUUCACCUUUGUUGAACCAUGAAAUCUUUGUGCCUAACAUUUAAAUCUCCAAUAUUAUUGUUGAAUUUUGUAUCUCUGAUUAACAAUAACCACAACAUGUUAACGAAUAUUCAAUCAACCCAAAGAAACAAUAGCAGCUACAACAGAGAAGGAUUCAGACAUUCCUUUUCCUUCUUCACCACUAAUCCUACAUGAAAACAAAAUCAUUAGAAAACAUCUCAAUUAGUAAAGAAAAUCAACAGAUAUGAGAAAAUAAAGUUAAUAACUGAUCAACAUGCCCUACUUUUCGCAUAAAUAUCAGCAGAUAUGAGAGAGAAGGGUGAGGCAAAGAGUGGAGAAGAUGAAAGAAUGAGUGAUAACUAAAAUGGAAAAGGGUGAACAGCACCCGUAGGUAGAGGCUUCAUUGAGUAAACCGUUGUAAAAGAU